GGUCUGUAACAAAGAAGACGGCUCGUUAAUGGGUUUCAAGAGCAGUGACCAUACUGAGGAUGGGAGGUGAUUCUUUGCUUGAAGUGGUUGGUUGGAAACUCUGAAAAUAUUUUGGCCUCCCAUUUGAAGACAUACUUGGUGUUUAUGCUGAUAUGACGUAGACUGGGCUAUCUAUGAGAUGGAAAGUAAUACCAGCCCUGGAACAGGGAAGAUAUACAGGGAACAUUGGAAUCUUUGGAAAUCUGGAUCCUAAUAGAAUUGGUGGUACUGUUCUUCUACCGUGUAUUACUGUGAUAAUUUGUGUGUUGACUGUACGGGAGAUCUGAAUGUGAAUAAUCUUAUAUUGCAGUAGUUGGUAUAUUGUAUAUAUAAGAGACUGAGUAUGGGGCCAGUUUUACUUAUAUCAUAAAGAAUGUGGUCAACUGAAUAUUUAGACUUUUAUGAUGACAGUGAACAUUUUCAGAGUUGGGUAUUUGCUGUGACAAAGUAUUAAAGAUUCAUGAAAGAGACCCUGUAAAUGGAUGAUCAUUUCUGGUCUAGAGUACAAAAGAGUGGUUUGUUACCAACGUGACUGGCUUCAUAAUUAAUACUGUAAUACCAAUGAAUGUUAAUAGAAUUGGUCAAUUAAUUUGGCGGAGUCAUAACAGUAAUCUACUUAUGGAACGUUAUAGUUCAUCACCAGUAAAUUUGGAUUAACAAUCA
This is a long non-coding RNA of Bombus terrestris (buff-tailed bumblebee), 702 nucleotides long. RefSeq lists it as uncharacterized. The transcript is spliced from 2 exons. The record is from RefSeq and is a predicted model, not a curated record. Lineage: Eukaryota; Metazoa; Arthropoda; Insecta; Hymenoptera; Apidae.